GCUGGGCAUGCUGGUGCAUGCCUGUAGUCCCAGCUACCUGGGAGGCUGAGAUGGGAGGAUCACUUGAGCCCAGGAGGUCCAAGCUGCAGUGAGCCAUGAUUGUGCUAUUGCAGUCCAGCCUGGGUGACAAAGUGAGACCCUGUGUCCC
Molecule: unclassified non-coding RNA, 148 nt
Organism: Papio anubis (olive baboon)
Lineage: Eukaryota; Metazoa; Chordata; Mammalia; Primates; Cercopithecidae
Rfam family: Metazoan signal recognition particle RNA
About the family: The signal recognition particle (SRP) is a universally conserved ribonucleoprotein. It is involved in the co-translational targeting of proteins to membranes. The eukaryotic SRP consists of a 300-nucleotide 7S RNA and six proteins: SRPs 72, 68, 54, 19, 14, and 9.
Source: Ensembl